GCAGUGAUGGCUCAGUGGUAGAAUUCUUGUUUUCUGUGCAAGAGACCCAGGUUUGAUUCCUGGCCAGUGUA
This 71-nucleotide transfer RNA is filed under the name Loxodonta africana (African savanna elephant). It matches the Rfam family "tRNA". Rfam says of the family: Transfer RNA (tRNA) molecules are approximately 80 nucleotides in length. Their secondary structure includes four short double-helical elements and three loops (D, anti-codon, and T loops). The record is from Rfam by way of RNAcentral. Lineage: Eukaryota; Metazoa; Chordata; Mammalia; Proboscidea; Elephantidae.